This 469-nucleotide ribosomal RNA is filed under the name uncultured bacterium. RNAcentral's name for it is "bacterial SSU rRNA". It matches the Rfam family "Bacterial small subunit ribosomal RNA", at positions 1009 to 1484 of the family's 1533-position model. The record is from RNAcentral.
GUAGGCCCUUUUCGGAGGCCAGACACAAGGUGCUGCAUGGCUGUGUCAGCUCGUGCCGNAGGUGUUGGGUUAAGUCCCGCAACGAGCGCAACCCUUGUCGUUAGUUGCCAUCAGGUAAAGCUGGGAACUCUAACGAGACUGCCGGUGACAAGCCGGAGGAAGGUGGGGAUGACGUCAAGUCCUCAUGGCCCUUACGUCCAGGGCUACACACGUACUACAAUGGCCGGUACAAUAGGUCGCAAUACCGCGAGGUGGAGCCAAUCCUCAAAACCGGUCUCAGUUCAGAUUGGAGUCUGCAACUCGACUCCAUGAAGGAGGAAUCGCUAGUAAUCGCGUAUCAGCAUGACGCGGUGAAUACGUUCCCGGGCCUUGUACACACCGCCCGUCAAGCCAUGGGAGUUGGGAGUACCCGAAAUCGCCGACUUAACCUUCGGGAAAGCGGCGCCUAAGUAAGACCAAGAUGGGUAAA